This 259-nucleotide ribosomal RNA is filed under the name Photobacterium phosphoreum. Its description in RNAcentral is "partial 16S ribosomal RNA". It matches the Rfam family "Bacterial small subunit ribosomal RNA", at positions 1 to 253 of the family's 1533-position model. The record is from RNAcentral. Lineage: Bacteria; Pseudomonadati; Pseudomonadota; Gammaproteobacteria; Vibrionales; Vibrionaceae.
UUAAUUGAAGAGUUUGAUCAUGGCUCAGAUUGAACGCUGGCGGCAGGCCUAACACAUGCAAGUCGAGCGGUAACAGAAAGAAAGCUUGCUUUCUUUGCUGACGAGCGGCGGACGGGUGAGUAAUGCCUGGGAAUAUACCCUGAUGUGGGGGAUAACUAUUGGAAACGAUAGCUAAUACCGCAUAAUCUCUUCGGAGCAAAGAGGGGGACCUUCGGGCCUCUCGCGUCAGGAUUAGCCCAGGUGGGAUUAGCUAGUUGGU